RNAcentral lists this long non-coding RNA (382 nucleotides) under Cyanistes caeruleus (blue tit). Its description in RNAcentral is "lncRNA (ENSCCEG00000021630.1)". The record is from RNAcentral. Lineage: Eukaryota; Metazoa; Chordata; Aves; Passeriformes; Paridae.
AGCAGCUCAUCCUUCCAUCUUCUCAUGCUCUCUCUGUUAUUUCUUUGCCACAGGAUCUGGGAAUCUCAUCGCUGCUCUCUUUGUUUGGGCCCAGAGGUUCCUCUUCUGCUGCACUUCUAGAGUUAGUCCUGUUGCACUGGUGCUGUUCAGGAGAAGAUGAACUGACAGUAACUCUGCUGUGUCUCUCUUGUGACCACACCAAAGUUUGACAAGUCACAUUCCUAUAAACUGAAUUUCUUUAGUAAUGAGUGAUCAAGCUUCAAAUCAGGAGCCCAUUUGAGAGCUGCCUUACAGAUCUUCAGGGAGGACAUUCUCUGAUCCAGGGAGCUUAAGCCUGUAAGUGGAAGCCUGGAAACAGCCAGUAUAGACAAAUAAAUAUGUG